GAAAUGCGAUAAGUAAUGUGAAUUGCAGAAUUCAGUGAAUCAUCGAAUCUUUGAACGCACCUUGCGCUCCAUGGUAUUCCGUGGAGCAUGCCUGUUUGAGUGUCAUGAAUACUUCAACCCUCCUCUUUCUUAAUGAUUGAAGAGGUGUUUGGUUUCUGAGCGCUGCUGGCCUUUACGGUCUAGCUCGUUCGUAAUGCAUUAGCAUCCGCAAUCGAACUUCGGAUUGACUUGGCGUAAUAGACUAUUCGCUGAGGAAUUCUAGUCUUCGGACUAGAGCCGGGUUGGGUUAAAGGAAGCUUCUAAUCAGAAUGUCUACAUUUUAAGAUUAGAUCUCAAAUCAGGUAGGACUACCCGCUGAACUUAA
This 364-nucleotide unclassified non-coding RNA is filed under the name uncultured Rhodotorula. RNAcentral describes it as "sequence contains ITS1". The stretch from base 1 to 105 matches the Rfam family "5.8S ribosomal RNA", at positions 50 to 154 of the family's 154-position model. The record is from RNAcentral. Lineage: Eukaryota; Fungi; Basidiomycota.